This 484-nucleotide ribosomal RNA is filed under the name uncultured bacterium. RNAcentral describes it as "bacterial SSU rRNA". It matches the Rfam family "Bacterial small subunit ribosomal RNA", at positions 19 to 518 of the family's 1533-position model. The record is from RNAcentral.
CUGGCUCAGGAUGAACGCUGGCGGCGUGCCUAACACAUGCAAGUCGAACGAAUAACCCGCCUUCGGGCGGUCAUAGAGUGGCGAACGGGUGAGUAACACGUGACCAACCUUCCCCCCGCAUGGGGAUAACCGGGCGAAAGCCCGGCUAAUACCCAAUACUCCGGGCCCUCCGCAUGGAGGGGCCGGGAAAGCCCAGGCGGCGGGGGAUGGGGUCGCGGCCCAUUAGGUAGACGGCGGGGUAACGGCCCACCGUGCCCGCGAUGGGUAGCCGGACUGAGAGGUCGAUCGGCCACAUUGGGACUGAGAUACGGCCCAGACUCCUACGGGAGGCAGCAGUGGGGAAUUUUGCGCAAUGGGGGAAACCCUGACGCCAGCAACGCCGCGUGCGGGAUGAAGGCCCUAGGGUUGUAAACCGCUUUCAGCAGGGAAGAAACAUGACGGUACCUGCAGAAGAAGCUCCGGCUAACUACGUGCCAGCCGCGGC